This 496-nucleotide ribosomal RNA is filed under the name uncultured bacterium. RNAcentral's name for it is "partial 16S ribosomal RNA". It matches the Rfam family "Bacterial small subunit ribosomal RNA", at positions 28 to 506 of the family's 1533-position model. The record is from RNAcentral.
GAUGAACGCUGGCGGCGUGCCUAAUACAUGCAAGUCGAGCGAACAGACGAGGAGCUUGCUCCUCUGACGUUAGCGGCGGACGGGUGAGUAACACGUGGAUAACCUACCUAUAAGACUGGGAUAACUUCGGGAAACCGGAGCUAAUACCGGAUAAUAUAUUGAACCGCAUGGUUCAAUAGUGAAAGACGGUUUUGCUGUCACUUAUAGAUGGAUCCGCGCCGCAUUAGCUAGUUGGUAAGGUAACGGCUUACCAAGGCGACGAUGCGUAGCCGACCUGAGAGAGUGAUCGGCCACACUGGAACUGAGACACGGUCCAGACUCCUACGGGAGGCAGCAGUAGGGAAUCUUCCGAAAUGGGCGAAAGCCUGACGGAGCAACGCCGCGUGAGUGAUGAAGGUCUUCGGAUCGUAAAACUCUGUUAUUAGGGAAGAACAAAUGUGUAAGUAACGAUGCACGUCUUGACGGUACCUAAUCAGAAAGCCACGGCUAACUACGU